RNAcentral lists this ribosomal RNA (262 nucleotides) under uncultured bacterium. RNAcentral describes it as "partial 16S ribosomal RNA". It matches the Rfam family "Archaeal small subunit ribosomal RNA", at positions 474 to 737 of the family's 1478-position model. The record is from RNAcentral.
AACCAGCACCUCAAGUGGUCAGGAUGAUUAUUGGGCCUAAAGCAUCCGUAGCCGGUUGCAUAAGUUUUCGGUUAAAUCUAUGCGCUCAACGUAUAGGCCGCCGAAAAUACUGUGCAGCUAGGGAGUGGGAGAGGUACACGGUACUCAAUAGGAAGGGGUAAAUCCUUUGAUCUAUUGAUGACCACCUGUGGCGAAGGCGGUGUACCAGAACACGUUCGACGGUGAGGGAUGAAAGCUGGGGGCGGAACCGAACGUAUAGACC